This 559-nucleotide ribosomal RNA is filed under the name uncultured Actinomycetes bacterium. RNAcentral describes it as "bacterial SSU rRNA". It matches the Rfam family "Bacterial small subunit ribosomal RNA", at positions 347 to 916 of the family's 1533-position model. Lineage: Bacteria; Bacillati; Actinomycetota; Actinomycetes. The record is from RNAcentral.
GGCAGCAGUGGGGAAUAUUGCGCAAUGGGCGAAAGCCUGACGCAGCAACGCCGCGUGCGGGAUGAAGGCCUUCGGGUUGUAAACCGCUUUCAGCAGGGAAGAAGCGAAAGUGACGGUACCUGCAGAAGAAGCACCGGCUGACUACGUGCCAGCAGCCGCGGUAAUACGUAGGGUGCAAGCGUUGUCCGGAUUUAUUGGGCGUAAAGAGCUCGUAGGCGGUUAGUCACGUCGGAUGUGAAAACCCAGUGCUUAACACUGGGCCUGCAUUCGAUACGGGCUGACUAGAGUGUUGUAGGGGAGACUGGAACUCCUGGUGUAGCGGUGAAAUGCGCAGAUAUCAGGAAGAACACCGGUGGCGAAGGCGGGUCUCUGGGCAACUACUGACGCUGAGGAGCGAAAGCGUGGGGAGCAAACAGGAUUAGAUACCCUGGUAGUCCACGCCGUAAACGGUGGGCGCUAGGUGUGGGGAACAUUCCACGUUCUCCGUGCCGCAGCUAACGCAUUAAGCGCCCCGCCUGGGGAGUACGGCCGCAAGGCUAAAACUCAAAGGAAUUGACGG